AACCCUCAUGUCCUUUAUCUCUCUCCGAUGGUUCCAGAAUUAGAGAAACCUCAAGUUACAGAGAUACAAGUCCGAAUGGACUGUAAUGGAUGCGUGCAGAAGAUCAAAAAGGCUCUGCAUGGCAUCAAUGGUAUCUAUGAACUCCAUAUUGACAUCACCCAACAGAAGUUGACAAUAAUUGGGUGGGCAGCUCCAGAAAAAAUAGUAAAAGCCAUUAGGAAAACUAGAAAGAUUGCCACUAUAUGUUCCCACACAGAACCAUCAGAUCAGCCAGCCGCUCAGCCAACAGAACCACCACCAACCACCAAAGCAACAAACCCUACCCUAGCAGAAGCUCCACCGGCUGAAGCAGCACCACCAGCGGAACCACCAACAGACCCACCACCACCUGAGAAUCCACCACCAGCAGAGAAACCAUCACUAUUACCUGUUGCUACAGAAACCAAUGCAAACCAGCCCGCACAUGCCUCUGAACCAAAAGAUGUAGGAGAGGUUCAUGUCAUAUACCAUCAUCCACCUGACUAUGGGUACAGAUAUAGCUUUGAUCAUAGUUAUGGCGGUCCCUGGAACAGAUACCCAAAGAGCCAUGGACUUCCACCAGAGCCCAGAUACCCUAAUAGCCAUGGACUACCAACAGAAUCACCACAGCCAAUCUAUGUGACUCACAGCUACAACACAUACAGGCCAUCACCAUAUGUCAAAGAAUACGAGCAC
Molecule: unclassified non-coding RNA, 714 nt
Filed under: Hevea brasiliensis (rubber tree)
Lineage: Eukaryota; Viridiplantae; Streptophyta; Magnoliopsida; Malpighiales; Euphorbiaceae
Source: RNAcentral